This 400-nucleotide unclassified non-coding RNA is filed under the name uncultured fungus. RNAcentral's name for it is "sequence contains ITS1". The stretch from base 1 to 106 matches the Rfam family "5.8S ribosomal RNA", at positions 50 to 154 of the family's 154-position model. Lineage: Eukaryota; Fungi. The record is from RNAcentral.
GAAAUGCGAUACGUAAUGCGAAUUGCAGAACUCAGUGAAUCAUCAAAUCUUUGAACGCAAAUGGCGCUUUCGGGAUAGGCCUGAAAGCACGUCUCUUUGAGUAUCGAUUCCACCACAACAAGUCAACUUGUUUGAAUUUGUUGAAAUUGAGUCUUCUCAUAAUCUUUGAUUAUGUGACUUGAAGCAAAAUGGGUUUUUAUCAGUAAAGUCAAUGCUUUUGGUUCUUCGGAGCUAAAUAGAGAGAUUGAUUAUGUUUCUUGUAACGUGGGUAAAUCCAAUACGUGACAUUGAACUAUCAAAGAUCAAUCAAUUGAUAAACAUUUAAACUUUCAAAAAGCCCUUAUAACACCAAACUUUUAGUUAAGAAUUAGAUCUCAAAUGAAGCGAGAAAACCCGCUGA